This 30-nucleotide non-coding RNA is filed under the name Homo sapiens (human). Lineage: Eukaryota; Metazoa; Chordata; Mammalia; Primates; Hominidae. The record is from RNAcentral.
GCUGAGAGUGGAAUGGUAGAGACCUGGGGU